CACUCAGAUCAAGUAAGCUGUCAUAUGGAUGAAUGUCGCAGGUUGGAAUGAUCCGGAGUAGAACUGUCGGUGUCGUUCCCAUCGUCGUAGGCAUUUUCGGUGGAUUUUGUAGGUCGAUCAACAAUGGUUGCGUGAGUUUUAGCUGUCAAGCUGCUAUGCCGUGCUAGCCGAUUCUUGCGAUCUGGGAUACAAGGGAUGGACGUAUCCUGUGGAAUGAUCGUGUCAGCGAAGGUUUGAAUGUCGCUUAGGACUGGAAAGGAGGGAGUACGGAAACUGUAAUCAGUAUUCAGGAUCUCGCUGUACAUGGGCAAUGUUUAGUUUAGGUGUAUUAAAGUGGUAAUUGUUCGAAGUUAUUUGAAAAGAAUUCUGUUUCAGUGUUUAAGCGCUAAAACUGUUUGUUUUUUGUAAGCAAACGUAUGAUUUAUUGAUCUUCAUUUUUUACUUUAUAACGCUAACGCUAUACAAAUGAUUUUGUUACCAAAUUUAAGUGCGUAUAUAAACAAUAAAUUAAUACUAAAAUAUUUCGAUGAAGACACCAAUGAUGUUUAUUGAUACAUUUUUCUCCUAAGUGCUACUUUCUCAACUUAAAGCAAUAAGUUAUGCAGUAAUUAUACUUCUACGAGUAUAUUUAAACAAAUCAUCAUUCAAAAGCAUUUUACCCAAUACUUAACUUACAUUAAGUAAAAUUUAUCUUUGUCAUUUUAGUCACUUAUUUUUUUAUCAUUCACUAAGCAGUAAGCAAAAUAUAUUUACUAAAAUAAUAAAAAAAAAUACGAUAUUCAUGGUAAGUUGGAUUAGCUAUUUUAUAACACAAACGACUUGAUAUUUUCAUUCAUUAAUUCAGGAAAAUAAAUGUACAAUGAAAAAUAAGUUUUUAUAACCGAUUAAAUUUGUGUAAUGUGUAGUUUUACUCAUCAAUAUAGUAAAAAAAUAUAAUUUGCAUUCAAAUUGUACUAAAGAAUAUUUUAUACUAGCGUAUUUUAGUAACUUAAGUUAGAAUUAAGUAAACAAACAAAAAAAAUAUAAAUAUAAGGAACAUAUAAGGAAAAAAAAGGAAGGCCUUAAAAUAAUAAAUAUAAGGAAGAAAGAAAACUCCGGAUCCGGAUCUGUUUACUCAUCAUCAAGGAAACUUUAAGAAAUAACAUUACUUCAAAUGUCUGCUCGAAGAAAGAUUCAGAAACUUAAACAAUUGCCAAGCUGGAAAUCGAUUAAUGAGUACACAUAAACGCUACAUAGUAAAACUCGCGUGUCCUGUGAUGGAUACAGUAUAUUAUUAUACAUUAGCAUUCAUUGGUGUAUGAAUCGUCAUCGUCAUUGUGUCAGCAAAGACGCAUCAUCAAUUGCACAGAUUUGUGGCUACAAAUAUAUAAAUGAAAAGUGUUAUUUAGAACAUUAUUUAUUGUGUUGUGCAAUAAAAUAGGUCAAUAAUUACCUGUAUCCGGCAGUGCGAACAAUUUCAUUCAUAAACAUGGGUAAAUAUGACGACUGUCAGAUGGGCUAAGCAUGAAAAAAAGUCCUUAAACAAAAUCCCAUUGUUUCGCUAUUGUGUUUGAAAAUCUAAGCCACAGGAGGAUAUUAAGUACGACCAUGCUUUACCUUUAAUGGCGUAUGUAAAAAAAAUUAAGCCUAUAAUCAACAAUGAAUGUUCUAUACCAUCCUAAGCAAAUUCAAAAACAAAUUUGAUCAUGUUAAUUUCUGGCCUCCCACAAGCGGGUCUCACCAGUAUUGACAGAAGAAUGAUCACUCAUCGAUACAAAACAUACAUAAAGUAAUUAAUACAUGUAUACAGGCUAAAUAAAGUGAAGUUGCUAGAAAAUACCUACUACUUGGAAAAACAAUAAUUGGAGAAGAAACCACUACCUAACAACGUGAAACUUUGAUAUUCAAAAUUUUCAAAUCAUAUAUGGCUAAAGCAAAAAAAAUACUUAAGAAUUGAAAUGUAAAAGAAAACACCUUUAGUUACAAAAAUAGAAAGCGAGUCAUAUUUUAUAUUUUCUGGUAAAAUUGUUUAGUUUUAAAUGUUACCAAAUACACCAAAUGUUAUUAGAAAUGAAAGUAACUGCAAAUAGUUUAAUUCAUAUGUGUACAGUCAGUCAUAACCAACAUAAUACCUACGUAAUAUUUUAAGAUAAUCGUUUGUUUUUCUACAUUCGUUGUCUAUGUAUAUUCGUUGUUGGUAUUUACUAUUAUGAGGCAAAUAACAAAUAACUAUGCUUGUUAUUAAUUUGCAUAUACCUACAGAAAAUCCAACUUACCAUGAAUAUAAAAUAAUAUAGUAAGUGCAGAACAAAAACUUAGGGUUUUACAUGGUUUUAUGUUUUCCAGUGGAUCUGGUUAGAGCUAUGUCACGCUAAAUUGUGUUCUUUGCUUUCUUCUUACAAUACUUUUCAAAAGAACACUGUUUCGCAUGAGACGGUUCCUCAAAAAACAUAAUAUCGUGUAUGAGCUAAACUAAAACUUAGGGUUUUACAUGGUUUUAUGUUUUCCAGUGGAUCUGGUUAGAGCCAUGUCACGCUAAAUGGUGUUUAUUGCAUUUCUUCGUACAAUACUUUUCAAUAGAUCACUGUUUCGCAUGAGACGGUUCCUCAAAAAACAUAAUAUCGUGUAUGAGCUAAACAAAAACUUAGGGAUUACAUGGUUUUAUGUUUUCCAGUUGAACUGGUUAGAGCCAUGUCACGCUAAAUAGAAUUCUUGUCAUUUCUUCUUACAAUACUUUUCAAUAAAACACUGUUUCGCAUGAGACGGUUCCUCAAAAAACAUAAUAUCGUGUAUGAGCUAAACAAAAACUUAGGGUUUUACAUGGUUUUAUGUUUUCCAGUGGAUCUGGUUAGAGCUAUGUCACGCUAAAUGGUGUUCUUUGCAUUUCUUCUUACAAUACUUUUCAAUAAAACACUGUUUCGCAUGAGACGGUUCCUCAAAAAACAUAAUAUCGUGUAUAAGCUAAACUAAAACUUAGGGUUUUACAUGGUUUUAUGUUUUCCAGUGUAUCUGGUUAGAGCUAUGUCACGCUAAAUUGUGUUCUUUGCAUUUCUUCUUACAAUACUUUUCAAUAGAACACUGUUUCGCAUGAGACGGUUCCUCAAAAAACAUAAUAUCGUGUAUAAGCUAAACUAAAACUUAGGUUUUAUAUGGUUUUAUGUUUUCCAGUGGAUCUGGUUAGAGCCAUGUCACGCUAAAUGGUGUUUAUUGCAUUUCUUCGUACAAUACUUUUCAAUAGAUCACUGUUUCGCAUGAGACGGUUCCUCAAAAAACAUAAUAUCGUGUAUGAGCUAAACAAAAACUUAGGGAUUACAUGGUUUUAUGUUUUCCAGUUGAACUGGUUAGGGCCAUGUCACGCUAAAUAGAAUUCUUGUCAUUUCUUCUUACAAUACUUUUCAAUAAAACACUGUUUCGCAUGAGACGGUUCCUCAAAAAACAUAAUAUCGUGUAUGAGCUAAACAAAAACUUAGGGUUUUACAUGGUUUUAUGUUUUCCAGUGGAUCUGGUUAGAGCUAUGUCACGCUAAAUGGUGUUCUUUGCAUUUCUUCUUACAAUACUUUUCAAUAAAACACUGUUUCGCAUGAGACGGUUCCUCAAAAAACAUAAUAUCGUGUAUGAGGUAAACAAAAACUUAGGUUUUAUAUGGUUUUAUGUUUUCCAGUGGAUCUGGUUAGAGCCAUGUCACGCUAAAUGGUGUUUUUUGCAUUUCUUCUUACAAUACUUUUCAAUAGAACACUGUUUCGCAUGAGACGGUUCCUCAAAAAAACAUAAUAUCGUGUAUGAGCUAAACUAAAACUUAGGUUUUAUAUGGUUUUAUGUUUUCCAGUGGAUCUGGUUAGAGCCAUGUCACGCUAAAUGGUGUUUUUUGCAUUUCUUCUUACAAUACUUUUCAAUAGAACACUGUUUCGCAUGAGACGGUUCCUCAAAAAACAUAAUAUCGUGUAUGAGCUAAACAAAAACUUAGGGUUUUACAUGGUUUUAUGUUUUCCAGUGGAUCUGGUUAGAGCCAUGUCACGCUAAAUGGUGUUCUUUGCAUUUCUUCUUACAAUACUUUUCAAUAAAACACUGUUUCGCAUGAGACGGUUCCUCAAAAAACAUAAUAUCGUGUAUGAGCUAAACAAAAACUUAGGGUUUUACAUGGUUUUAUGUUUUCCAGUGGAUCUGGUUAGAGCUAUGUCACGCUAAAUGGUGUUCUUUGCAUUUCUUCUUACAAUACUUUUCAGUAGAACACUGUUUCGCAUGAGACGGUUCCUCAAAAAACAUAAUAUCGUGUAUGAGGUAAACAAAAACUUAGGUUUUAUAUGGUUUUAUGUUUUCCAGUGGAUCUGGUUAGAGCCAUGUCACGCUAAAUGGUGUUUUUUGCAUUUCUUCUUACAAUACUUUUCAAUAGAACACUGUUUCGCAUGAGACGGUUCCUCAAAAAACAUAAUAUCGUGUAUGAGCUAAACUAAAACUUAGGUUUUAUACGGUUUUAUGUUUUCCAGUGGAUCUGGUUAGAGCCAUGUCACACUAAAUGGUGUUUAUUGCAUUUCUUCGUACAAUACUUUUCAAUAUAUCACUGUUUCGCAUGAGACGGUUCCUCAAAAAACAAAAUAUCGUGUAUGAGCUAAACAAAAACUUAGGUUUUAUAUGGUUUUAUGUUUUCCAGUGGAUCUGGUUAGAGCUAUGUCACGCUAAAUGGUGUUUUUUGCAUUUCUUCUUACAAUACUUUUCAAUAGAACACUGUUUCGCAUGAGACGGUUCCUCAAAAAACAUAAUAUCGUGUAUGAGCUAAACAAAAACUUAGGUUUUAUAUGGUUUUAUGUUUUCCAGUGGAUCUGGUUAGAGCCAUGUCACGCUAAAUAGCAUUCUUGUCAUUUCUUCUUUCCAUCCUUUAUAUUAUAUUAAAUAAUAUUUCAUACGGUAUUAUUUCGUUCUUUAAUUUAAUGUGUUUUUAGUGCUUCUGAAUGUGAUUUUGUUUUAAAUACUUAGCUUAUUAGCAUUCAUCAGUAUCCAAGAAUUCAUCAUAUUACUGCUAAUCAAUAAACAAACAACGGUUUUAGCGUUUAAAUACCGAAAAAACAACCUGCCUGUUCAUUUAUUACUUGUUUUAUUAAACAGGAAUUUGCAUAUCGAUCGUUUUCAAUUAACUUCGAACAGUUACAACUACACGUAAACUGAGCAUGUAGUCUAUCUACAGCAAGAUCGUGACCGCUGACUGCAGCUCUCCUUCUCCCUCCAUUUCACUCCCAAUCGACAUUUUCACCUUUGCUGAUAUGAUUACUCCACAGGAUACCUCCAUCCCCUGCAUACCUGGUCGCUAGAUUCGGCUGGCACGUCAUAUCGGUUUGACAGCCAACUCACGUAACUAUUGUUGAUUGAUCCACAGUCCACUGAAGUGCCUACGAUGAAGGGAACAACAUGGACAGUUCUACUCCGAAUUACUCCAACCCAUGCGAUGUUCAUCCAUGCGACAACCCACCUGAUCUGAGUGGAACUUAACUGAAGCAAGAGAGUGAUGCCUAAUUCCAUCUGCCAACUAGCUCCACUUCUCUCCCGUGCACCAGUCGCACCCACACCGACGUGUUCAUCUUGCCAGUUUUCCUCACACCCGUCCACUUGUCUCUUGAAGAUUGGCGUCCACAACACCAACGGUUGGUUAGGUCAUGCAAGCAUUGUUACAAUUGAUAAAAACACAUAUUUUCAUUUAGUGAAUGUGAUAACCUGUACUAAUAAUUUGGUCAACUUAGCGAUGAUAACUCAAUGUAAGUAUUAACAAACUCGGUACGUGUUUGUUAUUGUCAAUAGUAUCUUUAAAUUGUACAACUCGCUUAUGUUUGACAAUUACUGAGUAAUUGCUUUGCUUAUUGCAUGCUAAUUGCUGAAAAUUGCUUUUUAUUUUAAAUUCCUUAGCUAAAAAUUGCUUUUUCUUUCACAUUUCUCUGCUUAUUGAAUGACUAUUGCUAACUCAUUAGAUAGAACCUACUUCUCAUAUAAGUAGGUGGAUGCGGCCUCGAUUAGCGGGGGAACCACAUGAAAAAAAGCGAGCUACUGGGUGUACCUCCUGGGUAGUUUGGAAAUCACCUAAAAUAUAUAUGUAUAUAUUUAUAAAUAAAAGUUAAUAUAUAUAAAUUAACAUUGUUAUUUUUUAACAGGAAAUGCACAAUGCUAAAAACUGCGUAGGAGAUUUUAAUACAAUAGUACUACCAAGCCUGAUGUUGGCCGCUAUUUCAAUGAAUGCAGCAGUGUGACAGCUAGCAAUCAAAAGUAACAAGAUAUCGAGGAAAUGCAGAUGGCAAUAAACUGUGUAGGAGUUCAUGAUUGCAAUAGAAUAAAAUCGACCAAGCUUGAAGUCAGCAGCCCCUUCAAUGAAUGCAGCAGUGUGACAGCCAGCAAUCAAAAGUUACAAGAUAUCGAGGAAAUGCAGAAGGCAAAAAACUGCGUAGGAGAUCAUUAAUACAAAAGUAUUAUAUAAACCAAACCUGAUGUUGCCAGCUCCUUCAAUGAAUGCAGCAGUGUGACAGCCAACAAUCAAAAGUAACAAGAUAUCGAGGAAAUGCAGAAGGCAAAAAACUGCGUAGGAGAUCAUUAAACAAUAGUAUUAUAUAAACCAAACCUGAUGUUGGCCGCUCAUUCAAAGAAUGCAGCAGUGUGACAGCCAGCAAUCAAAAGUAACAAGAUGUCGAGGAAAUGCAGAGUAUAAUAAACUGUGUAGGAGAUUAUGAUUGCAAUAGAAUAAAAUCGACCAAGCCUGAAGUCCUUCAAUGCACGCAGCAGUGUGACAGCCAGCAAUCAAAAGUUACAAGAUAUCGAGGAAAUACAGAAGGCAAAGAAGCAGAUGUCAUCAAAGAAGAUCUUUGUUCCUGCAAUGUUUCCGCAGACGAUACAACCAACAGAGCGAAGUGGAAGGAAAAGACUCGGAAUAAAGACCCCACCACCAUAUGGGAACAAUGCAAGGGAGAGAGAGAGAAUAUAAUGUUAUAUUUUUAUUUUUUGAUAACAUAAAAUAAA
Molecule: long non-coding RNA, 6969 nt
Organism: Pectinophora gossypiella (pink bollworm)
Lineage: Eukaryota; Metazoa; Arthropoda; Insecta; Lepidoptera; Gelechiidae
Exons: 7
Source: RefSeq, a predicted model, not a curated record